This 285-nucleotide long non-coding RNA is filed under the name Gallus gallus (chicken). The record is from RNAcentral. Lineage: Eukaryota; Metazoa; Chordata; Aves; Galliformes; Phasianidae.
GGAUCCCAGCAUGUUCACACAGUGAUGAGCACACCUGGCUUUCCCUUCUGCACACUCAUCAAUGUCUAAGCAGGACUUCUCAUCUGUAGAAAGAUAAUGCCCUGGGUGACAGUCACAUUUGGCAGUUCCUCUCUCAUUUUGACAGAUUUGUGAGCAUCCUCCAUUCCCACUUGUGCAGGGGUCUAUCAUCAAGCACGUGCGCCCAUCAGAGUGCAGCCUGUAUCCUGCCCAACAGUGGCAGUGGAAAGAGCUGUGGGUGUUGAUGCAGCCCUGCUGGCAGCCUCC